AAGACUAUAGACCUGCGGAGUACCUGCGGAGGGAUCAUUAACAAAUCUCUUUAUGGAGAAAAUCCAUAUAUACCAUGUGAAUUUCUUUGUAUUUGAAAAUAUAAAAGUUAUUUAUAUUUUUAAAACAAAUGAUAUUAAAUUUAUAAACUAUUUAUUUAAAAUGUCUUAUAAAAUAAUUUAAAAAUUAAUACAACUUUUAGCAACGGAUCUCU
RNAcentral lists this unclassified non-coding RNA (212 nucleotides) under soil metagenome. Its description in RNAcentral is "partial contains 5.8S ribosomal RNA, internal transcribed spacer 2, and large subunit ribosomal RNA". The record is from RNAcentral.